Molecule: ribosomal RNA, 253 nt
Filed under: uncultured bacterium
Lineage: Bacteria
Description: partial 16S ribosomal RNA
Rfam family: Bacterial small subunit ribosomal RNA
Source: RNAcentral
UACGUAGGGUGCGAGCGUUGUCCGGAAUUAUUGGGCGUAAAGAGCUCGUAGGCGGUCUGUCGCGUCGAAUGUGAAAACCCGGGGCUCAACUCCGGGCUUGCAUUCGAUACGGGCAGGCUAGAGUUCGGUAGGGGAGUCUGGAAUUCCUGGUGUAGCGGUGAAAUGCGUAGAUAUCGAGAGGAACACCUGCGGCGAAGGCGGGUUGCUGGGCCGACACUGACGCUGAUGCGCGAAAGCCAGGGGAGCGAACGGG